AUGUCUGCUUCUUCCUCACAAAAGAGCAGAAUAUCUAAACCUACCUCAAAAAUGUUGUCCUUCUGGCAAGAUAAACUAGAUUCCUUGAAACCUAAAUAUCAGAAGUCAUGGCAGAGAAUUUUAGAUAUGAGUCAAGCAAGCCAUCGCUUUAGGCAGCAGAAAGAAAUAUUAGAUUGUAAGGAAAGAUUACAACAUCAAUACUGUGAGUGGAUAACAUAUUCAGAUAAUAUAAUCUCUUUGCUUGAACAUAUGAAAACAUCAGAAUCUUUAAGUAAUAAGGAAGAAAUGUUGUCAGAGAGAGAGAGAAGGGAACUAGAAUUUGAUACCAUCAUGAAUGAUUUAUCUAACAAAAUAUCAGAAGGUCAGGCAGAAGAAGACCCUGCCUCCCUUAUGGAAACUGUUGAUGAAGAACAAGUGCAACACAUGUUUAGUAAAGACACAGAUACAAAGUCAAACAGGUCUGUGUGUACAUUAGCAGGCAAAUCAAGAUCAUCUCACACAUCCCAUAGAACAGAAAGAACAAGAGGGACUUCUGUUCAUAGUGGUUCUUCUGGCCAAUCCCUUAGUCUGGUCAUAAAGGCUAGGGCCGAGGCAGCUGCCGCAGUAAAACAAAUAGAGUUUCUUAAGAAAAGACAGCAAAUUGUUGCAGAGAAGGCAGAACUGGAUGCCUUGGCCGCUGCCAAGAAGGCAGAAAUGGAAGCCGCAGCCGCUGCCAAGAAGGCAGAAAUGGAAGCCGCAGCUGCCGCUGAGCAGGCAGCAGCCGCUGCCAAGCAUGCAGGUAUGGAUGCAGAAAAUAAGGCCCGUCAAGUUAAAACAGAAGCUGCUCUAGCAACGUUAGCACAGGUUGCAAAGGCUGAGGUGUUACAAGUAAAGGCCUCAGUCCUAGAGCAAGGUCUCUUAGGAAAUACAUUCCCUCCAGAUGUUACAACAGAAGAUCCUGUCACAAAAGUGGAUUCUUAUUUAAAUACCCAAAUUAUCAAUAUUGCAGCCCCUCCUGUGCUAACAAGAGAAAGUGCAGUAGCAAAUAAUUCUUUUGUAUCACAACCAGAAAUUAUAGAGGUUUCUGCACCCAAAGAACAUUAUUUGCCGUAUGCAGAAGUAGCAAGUCAAGCAGCAGUUCCAUUGCAUGAUAUAUCUCAAACCAAGUUAGAGCACAGUUUUCCAGUAGACACACAGGACUCAACACAGUCAAACUACACAAUGCCAACAACUGCAUUCAGUCUCAAUCCCAAAGCAGCUAGUUGGGUUCCAGAAAACCCCCAGAUCCAAACUAACUCUGAACCAACUUUGCAACAGUCCUCAGUCCCACUUGAUAUUUUAAAUUAUACCUCCUACAGAAACCCAAGAAGGGACUUAGCAGACAGAGGCAUUCAGAAAUUCUCUGAUAAGCCAGAGGAUUAUAUGUUGUGGAAGAAUACAUUUCAGUCAGCUCUCAAGCAACUAAAAUUGCCUGUAGAGGAAGAGUUAAAUUUAUUGAUCGCUUGGUUGGGACCUGCUUCUUCCAUACAGGUGAAGAGAAUUUAUGCAGCAAACAUAAAUAACCCACAUGCAGCCUUAAAUCGAGUGUGGGACCGUCUCAAUGAACGUUAUGGAUCAUCUGCACAGAUAGAAACGUUGCUUCUGCAAAAGCUUAAAUCGUUUCCUGCAUUUACAAAAGGGGAAUAUGAGAAAUUAUGGGAUUAUGCAGAUUUGCUUGAAGAAUUGGAGGCAGCUAAGGGAAAUCCAGAUUUACCAGGGCUUGCAUGUUUAGAUCAAUAUUUAACACAACAAGAGAUUAUUGAUAAACUGCCUUUCUCACUGAAGGAGGUAUGGGGCCGGGAAGUUUUCUCUUAUAAAGAAACUCAUCAACGGAAAUACCCACCAUUUACACAUUUAGUGAAGUUUCUCUUAAGAUCAGCUAGAGAGAAGAAUGAUUUGCAAACGGGGUUUCCUCUUUUAUAUCAAAGUAAUAAAAAGGAUAAGAAACAUUUCAUAGAAACCAAAAGCAAACCACAAGUCACAGUUAGAAAAACUGAAACCAAGGUCAAAUCAGUUGAACAUCACACAAAGACAUCAGCAGGAGUAAUAUGUCCAGUACACCAAAUAGCACAUGAUCUGAAUAACUGCAAAGAAUUCAGGAGCAAACCUUAUGAAGAGCGUUUAACCUUUGCCAGAGAUCAAAGACUUUGUUUUAAAUGUGGUACUUUUAGAAACCACAUAGCCAAGGAGUGCAGGAGAAAAGUGAAAUGUCAAGAAUGCUUUAGUGAAAAACACUGCUCUGCACUACAUCGCGAAACAACACCUCAUCAGAAAGGAAAGAACUCUGAAAAGUCAGAAUGUAUUCUUGUGGAAACACCACAACCUAAGGAGAUUAAGAUAGCAACAUCAACUUGCACAGCUUUGUGUGGAGAAGCAGGAAAAGAACGAACAUGUCAUCCUAUUUGCUUGGUAGAUGUCUACCCUGAAAACUCUCCAGAUCAAGUUAAACGCAUGUACGUUGCCUUAGAUUCUCAAAGUGACACCUCCCUAGCAACACCUGAAUUCUUUAACAUCUUUCAAAUUCAAUCAAAAGAGGUAGAAUACGUUAUGACUACUUGUGGUGGAGAUCAGGUCAUGGUGGGGAGAGUAGCAUCUGGAUUCAUCCUCCGGACUAUUGAUGGCAUGAAACAAUUUAGGUUACCAACGUUCAUAGAAUGCCAAAAUAUACCUAAAGAUGAAAGACAAAUCCCUACAAGAGAAAUAGCUAUGAGUCAUGCACACCUAAGAUCCAUGGCACAUAAGUUACCAAGAUUCGACCCUGGCGCAAAGAUUCUUUUGCUUAUUGGUAUAGACUGUCCAGACUUGUUUUCAGUUAAAAAGCAAAUAAAAGGUCGACCAGGAGCACCAAUAGCUCAAGAACUAGAGAUAGGCUGGACUAUCCUAGGUCCAGUAUGUUUAAACCGCAAAAGGUUGCCUUCUCAUGCUCGAACCUUUUGCACAGGCUUCAUGCCAAGUGGACGUCUUCUCUUAUAG
Molecule: long non-coding RNA, 2991 nt
Filed under: Anolis carolinensis (green anole)
Lineage: Eukaryota; Metazoa; Chordata; Lepidosauria; Squamata; Anolidae
Description: lncRNA (ENSACAG00000044841.1)
Source: RNAcentral